RNAcentral lists this ribosomal RNA (500 nucleotides) under uncultured bacterium. Its description in RNAcentral is "partial 16S ribosomal RNA". It matches the Rfam family "Bacterial small subunit ribosomal RNA", at positions 30 to 523 of the family's 1533-position model. The record is from RNAcentral.
AUUGAACGCUGGCGGCAUGCCUUACACAUGCAAGUCGAACGGCAGCACGGGAGCAAUCCUGGUGGCGAGUGGCGAACGGGUGAGUAAUAUAUCGGAACGUGCCCAGUCGUGGGGGAUAACGUAGCGAAAGCUACGCUAAUACCGCAUACGAUCUAUGGAUGAAAGCGGGGGAUCGCAAGACCUCGCGCGAUUGGAGCGGCCGAUAUCAGAUUAGGUAGUUGGUGAGGUAAAGGCUCACCAAGCCGACGAUCUGUAGCUGGUCUGAGAGGACGACCAGCCACGCUGGGACUGAGACACGGCCCAGACUCCUACGGGAGGCAGCAGUGGGGAAUUUUGGACAAUGGGCGCAAGCCUGAUCCAGCAAUGCCGCGUGCAGGAUGAAGGCCUUCGGGUUGUAAACUGCCUUUGUACGGAACGAAACGGUGAGCUCUAAUACAGUUUGCUAAUGACGGUACCGUAAGAAUAAGCACCGGCUAACUACGUGCCAGCCGCCGCAGUAA